This 490-nucleotide ribosomal RNA is filed under the name uncultured bacterium. RNAcentral's name for it is "partial 16S ribosomal RNA". It matches the Rfam family "Bacterial small subunit ribosomal RNA", at positions 30 to 507 of the family's 1533-position model. The record is from RNAcentral.
AUUGAACGCUGGCGGCAUGCCUUACACAUGCAAGUCGAACGGCAGCAUGAUCUAGCUUGCUAGAUUGAUGGCGAGUGGCGAACGGGUGAGUAAUACAUCGGAACGUGCCCUGUAGUGGGGGAUAACUAGUCGAAAGAUUAGCUAAUACCGCAUACGACCUGAGGGUGAAAGUGGGGGACCGCAAGGCCUCAUGCUAUAGUAGCGGCCGAUGUCUGAUUAGCUAGUUGGUGAGGUAAAGGCUCACCAAGGCGACGAUCAGUAGCUGGUCUGAGAGGACGAUCAGCCACACUGGGACUGAGACACGGCCCAGACUCCUACGGGAGGCAGCAGUGGGGAAUUUUGGACAAUGGGCGAAAGCCUGAUCCAGCAAUGCCGCGUGUGUGAAGAAGGCCUUCGGGUUGUAAAGCACUUUUGUCCGGAAAGAAAUGGCUCUGGUUAAUACCUGGGGUCGAUGACGGUACCGGAAGAAUAAGGACCGGCUAACUACGUG